This 447-nucleotide ribosomal RNA is filed under the name uncultured Leptolinea sp. RNAcentral's name for it is "bacterial SSU rRNA". It matches the Rfam family "Bacterial small subunit ribosomal RNA", at positions 920 to 1378 of the family's 1533-position model. Lineage: Bacteria; Bacillati; Chloroflexota; Anaerolineae; Anaerolineales; Anaerolineaceae. The record is from RNAcentral.
ACCCGCACAAGCAGCGGAGCGUGUGGUUUAAUUCGAGGCUACACGAAGAACUUACCAGGUUUGACAUGCAAGUGGUAGGAAUCCGAAAGGUGACCGACCCUUCGGGAGCUUGCACAGGUGCUGCAUGGCUGUCGUCAGCUCGUGUCGUGAGAUGUUCGGUUAAGUCCGCUAACGAGCGCAACCCUCGUCGUGUGUUAUACGUGUCACACGAUACUGCCGGUAUCAAGCCGGAGGAAGGUGGGGAUGAUGUCAAGUCAGCAUGGCCUUUAUAUCCUGGGCUACACACACGCUACAAUGGCAGAUACAAUAGGUUGCGAAACCGCGAGGUGGAGCCAAUCCUCAAAGUCUGUCUCAGUUCAGAUUGUAGGCUGCAACUCGCCUGCAUGAAGUUGGAGUUGCUAGUAAACGCAGGUCAGCUAUACUGCGUUGAAUACGUUCCCGGGGUUU